Molecule: long non-coding RNA, 447 nt
Organism: Leptopilina boulardi
Lineage: Eukaryota; Metazoa; Arthropoda; Insecta; Hymenoptera; Figitidae
Exons: 2
Source: RefSeq, a predicted model, not a curated record
UGCAAUGGAUUUUCUUUAUAUAAAAGCCCAACAGGUUUGUUACACUUCAUACCUUGUACAGCUUCUUUUAGUGUAUUCCUGAAAUACUACAAACUACAAAUAAAAAAUGGCCAGUAUCAAAAUGUUGUUCGUCCUCUUGGCAACAGUUUUAAUGUUUGUGGCUCCUGCUAUCAAUGCUUGUGAAGGAAAUGGAACUCCAUGUCAACCUGAUGGAACUACAGAUUGUUGCUCAGGAUUUUGUUAUAAACAAGUAGGAUGGGCAAUAGGAUAUUGCAAAGCUCGCUAAGUUUAAAAACCGAAUUUUGUUACAUUUUUUAUUUAAAUAAACUAUUUUUGAAUCUUGAUGUAAUUAUUAAAAUUAGUAACACGACAUUGGUUUUUGGACAAUAAUAAAAUAUUCAAUGUAAAUUGAAAUUUAAGUAAAAAAUAAAAAUUUUUGUAAACCUA